UCCGGCUUAUCACCGGCGGUUACCUUGGAGUGCCCAGCUUGACCUGAUGGCAACUAAGGUCGAGGGUUGCGCUCGUUGCGGGACUUAACCCAACAUCUCACGACACGAGCUGACGACAACCAUGCACCACCUGUGCACGGCCCUUGCGGACCCACCAUCUCUGGAGGAUUUCAGUGCAUGUCAAGCCUAGGUAAGGUUCUUCGCGUUGCAUCGAAUUAAGCAACAUGCUCCGCCGCUUGUGCGGGCCCCCGUCAAUUCCUUUGAGUUUUAGCCUUGCGGCCGUACUCCCCAGGCGGGGCGCUUAAUGCGUUAGCUGCGGCACGGAACUCGUGGAAUGAGCCCCACACCUAGCGCCCAACGUUUACGGCGUGGACUAC
This 377-nucleotide unclassified non-coding RNA is filed under the name uncultured Geodermatophilaceae bacterium. RNAcentral's name for it is "contains 16S-23S intergenic spacer region". The record is from RNAcentral. Lineage: Bacteria; Bacillati; Actinomycetota; Actinomycetes; Geodermatophilales; Geodermatophilaceae.